UUAAACUCAAGCUUUGCAGAGCUUGAGUUUAAUUGCCAUAGCUCUUAAUAGCUUCUUGCCCUUGAACCCUGACCUGGACUUCUCUGUGUUGCAGGUGAAAUAGAACUGGCAGAUGAAAAUGGCCAAGUGAAGAAUUUGCUCCAGAAUCAGGACCAGUACGCAUCACAGCUCCUGAGUGAGAGGGAGUUUUGUAUUUUACUCAAAGUCACACGACAUGAAGGCUCCCAAGAAGCUGUUUUUACACCACUGCUGAAAGAUCACAGCAUUGUCACUCCAAAGUUCCUGGCUAAAUUGGGGAAGAGGGAAGAUUCAAAAGUAUCACCUACCAGAGUGAAAUCCAGAAAAUAUGGCAAACAAGCAACCUUGCCUUUGGAGGUUCCACCCACAGAAGGUAAAAGGAGUCAUUCACCACAGGGCAACAAGAAUAAAACCGUGGCUUCCUCUUCCAAAGAAACUGGGACAUUCUAAUCAUGGCAAAUCAAAGGAGUUGCUUGGUACUGAGUUUUGGAGGCCAUCUCUAGGCAUGUUAGUGUAUUCCUUCAUGAAACACACAAUUUGUUGGCUUUUUUUCCAAAAGCGUACAGUAGUAAAUGCCUUGUUUCUUUGAGAAAAGAAUAGUCUCACUGAAAUAGUGGAUCAGUGAGUCACUUUGAAGCCGGGUACAUGUUUAAUAAGUAUGCCAAAUGAAGCCUUGGUUCUUGCAGACACUGCGCUGUUGUUGAAUCACGGAAAUUGGCAGAAGGACAAGCUGCAACACCGGGUUGGUUCAUCUUUAACUCAGUAGUUUUACUUUUGGAAUUAUUGAAGUAGUCAAUUAACACAUCCAUAGUACUUUCAUCUCAACUUUUACCUGACCAACUUCUUUAAAUAACUUUGUAGCUCCUCGGGUGGGUCAUAUCUUACAUGGACUGGACCCUGGUCCAUCUUUCACAUACCUGUUGAAUCAUCAGUCCUCCUGAUUUGUUGUGCUAAGUAUUUGUAUAUAUACAGCACAAUGAGGAACGUGUUAAAACUGCAUAUAAAGUUUUAGAUAAUCUUGUAAAAGCUAUAGAUGAGUCUUUCUUCUUCAAGGUUCCUCUUAAAAAAAAAAAAAAGGGCUGUAAAAUCUAAUCAGUGAGAACAUGACUUUUCUCUGUACAACACCCAGUGAUACAUUGAUCUCAGACAAAUGCACAAACAAUUUUGAAGUUGCAGCACUUUUGUUGUUGAAAAUAUUUUGAAUUAAACAAAGAGAACUCCAAAAUGUAUUUUUUAACAGUGGCCCCCAAACAAGGAGAGAGCUGUUGGGACUUUCCAGUAAGAUAUUCCCUACAUGCUGGUGAUUGUACAGUGACGUUCAUCUGUGUCUGUUUAUGGGAGAACUCUGUGACAAUCUUGAAUCUGUGACAACCUUGGCUGUAUUUAUCUGUUCCUGUCACAGGAAAGUAGUAUCCGUAUUUUCUACAAGGAACUGAUGCUCAGGGGAAGAUCUCAGUCAUCCAGCAAUUCAAAUUCCUGCUGCUGUCUUGGGAAUUAAAAGCAGCAACUAAUUUCUGUUAAAAUCAAGGAGGAAAUCUGUGGUGAUGGAGAUGCUGUUUUUCUGCUUCAAAUGUGUUCUGUAUAACGCCUAUUCUAUGUGUGUCAUUGGUUCUGAUGUAUUUUGAUACAUGCCUGGAAUCCAGUUAGCAUCUCUUUUCUGUGGAUUUGAAGAAGUAUUAAGACACAUAAUAUUUUGAUGAUACAGAAACAGUCCCCAUAGAUGAUGUCACCAACUUGCUGUGUUGCAAAAGGCAUGAAGCAAUGGAGCUCCAAAAUGAGAUCGUGCUGAUACCUGGGAAGUGCAGAACUAGUGUCUGCUUUGGAUAUGUAGGGAUCUAAAAUCUGCUGGGACAUGGCAAUCUCCCCCUCACCCAUCUGUCAGGCAGUGUAAGUUCUGACAAAUCAAAGCCCAGAAUAGCAGAAAACAUGCACUGUUCUCUGUGAGAAAUCUGCUGCAGCCCAUCGCUCCUACACCUCUGAGCAAUAAAGCAAACAACUCUAUAGUUCCA
This 2027-nucleotide long non-coding RNA is filed under the name Calidris pugnax (ruff). RNAcentral describes it as "lncRNA (ENSCPUG00000014071.1)". The record is from RNAcentral. Lineage: Eukaryota; Metazoa; Chordata; Aves; Charadriiformes; Scolopacidae.